GAUGAAGAACGCAGCGAAAUGCGAUAAGUAGUGUGAAUUGCAGAAUUCAGUGAAUCAUCGAAUCUUUGAACGCACAUUGCGCCCCAUGGUAUUCCGUGGGGCAUGCCUGUUCGAGCGUCAUUUACCCCCUCAAGCUCAGCUUGGUGUUGGGGCCUGCUGCACUGGCAGCCCUUAAAAUCAGUGGCGGCGCCAUCUGGCUCUAAGCGUAGUAAUUCUUCUCGCUAUGGAGUCCUGGUGGAUGCUUGCCAUCAACCCCCAAUUUUUCUAUGGUUGACCUCGGAUCAGGUAGGGAUACCCGCUGAACUUAAGCAUAUCAAUAAGCGGAGGA
This 328-nucleotide unclassified non-coding RNA is filed under the name soil metagenome. Its description in RNAcentral is "partial contains 5.8S ribosomal RNA, internal transcribed spacer 2, and large subunit ribosomal RNA". The stretch from base 1 to 120 matches the Rfam family "5.8S ribosomal RNA", at positions 35 to 154 of the family's 154-position model. The record is from RNAcentral.